GCCAGCUAGAAAAGACAUAUAACAACGAGGACACCGCUGAAAGAUCUCGAGCUUUAGACUAUAGUCACGCGUACGCAUGCGGCCUAAAUGAGUAACAAAGGAACUUCAUACCUCUAAACCUGUUGUGGCAGACUGUAAAAUCAGACGUAAUGGAACAGAUGGUACCAAUCUGCAUUUCUCAACACGUGUUUAUGAUUCUCUUUGGCAACGUCGUUAUGUGUCUUUUCUAUGUUGGCGCCAUGCAAGUGUCUCUUCGGUCCCUGAGAAGAAAAAGCGCAUUAGCCACUGUACGAUAAGACGAAGAAAAGCGAAGAGGACAAGACGAAGGAGAAAAAAACUCCUUGACAAGCGUUUCAAGUUAGGACAGCAAGGAAGGAUGCGGCAGGUGCUGCUGCUGAAGGACGAUUCAGGCUUGGAUGAACGUUUCCGGCAGUAACAGCAUCGAAUAAGACAAACAACGAAAGCAGGACGGCGGGCGAAAGCAAGCCUGGAAGCUGGACUGCAUUACGAAGGGUAUCCUACUCUCAAUGGUGUAACGACGAAAACCGUGCAAUGUCCUUAGCUUUCUUCCGUCGGAAGCUUGCCGGAAGACGGCGUGGAGAAACGCGAGAGACGGCCAGAAAAAAAUAAACAGGCUGACCGAAAUCUUGAACAAAGUGCUUCAUCUCGCGAAAAGAUAACGAAGCGACUAUGCUCGAGUGUGUUUGUGAUUUAAUCUAAAACAGCUACAUUUUCCUAUUAGAUAAAAAGCUUGGCUGCAUCGCACAGAGCCUAUAAGGGUGAUGAAAAGCGCUACAAGAAGCAAAGAGAUAAUGAGGGAGUGAUAAGCAAAGAUAAGCCUAAAGGAUGUACGCGAAACAACUAUGAAACCUCUAGAUAGACCUAGUGAUUAUCCGCAGCAGAGGGGGGUGAUAGACAUGGAAGAUUGGACUGGCCACUUGUUGGAUAUGUAAACUACUACAUUUAUGUAGGGGCAAUGCGCCUAUACAUCAUGCACGCAGGACAGUCACCAGCGGCAAUGCGCCUAUACAUCAUGCACGCAGGACAGUCACCAGCGAGCGUUUCCCAUUGAGUAUAGGUCACGCGUUUCUUCUGCACCACUGCAUCCACAGGGCACGCCCCUAGAAUCUUAUGAUUCUUCCCACUAAAAAAAUAGCCGACUGCACCGGUGAAUCAUUAAAGCGUGACGCGGCGUUCCUCCAGCAUAGCGCUUUCUAGAGCUACUUUCGUCCAAUGUUGACGUCAAGGAAGGAAUACAUUAUCGAGUCUCCGAGUUCCGGUCUGGUUGUAGAAGAUGGGUCCGGAAUAGUUUUCGCCCGUCUACAUCUAGUCACCCCAACACUGCUGCCAUUGCGGCUGCGCUCGCCUUCAAACAAAAGCGGUCGCCCAGUCGACAGAGGAGACGUUUGGAGUAGCCACUGUGGAUGCCAAUACAGACUGGACGAGAAAAACUAGAAAUGCGCAAAUAUGUACAGGUAAAUCGUUUGACUUGUCGCCAAGUAAGUUCUCCGCCGAGUCCACAGCUGCCGUUAGCAGUAACAAUCGUGAAAUACCGUAGUAACAACGUACAACUUCAAAAAGAUUGCUAGUACUAGAGG
Molecule: long non-coding RNA, 1598 nt
Filed under: Varroa destructor (honeybee mite)
Lineage: Eukaryota; Metazoa; Arthropoda; Arachnida; Mesostigmata; Varroidae
Description: uncharacterized LOC111245690, transcript variant X2
Source: RNAcentral